This 311-nucleotide ribosomal RNA is filed under the name Galathea sp. KES-2008. Its description in RNAcentral is "eukaryotic LSU rRNA". It matches the Rfam family "Eukaryotic large subunit ribosomal RNA", at positions 65 to 333 of the family's 3401-position model. The record is from RNAcentral. Lineage: Eukaryota; Metazoa; Arthropoda; Malacostraca; Decapoda; Galatheidae.
CCAACAGGGAUUCCCUUAGUAAGUGCGACUGAACCGGGAUGAGCCCAGCGCAUAAUCUCACGAUUUCCAUUAACGUGGCGUGAGAGGUGUUGCGUUUCAGAGAGAUCUAGCAUCGCGUUCCAUGCCGUCUAAGUUGAUAAACUUGAAGAAAGCGGACCAACUCCCGUGGAGGGUGAUAGUCCCGUAUGACGGUUAUCUCCCGUAAGGGUAGUUUGGAACGCGAGAAAGGGUCUCUCUGUAGAGUCGGGUUGCUUGAGAAUGCAACCUAAAGAGGUGGUAAACUCCAUCUAAGGCUAAAUAUGACCACGAGA